CCCAGAGGAGGAAGCUGUAAACGAACUUAGUGAGUUUUCAGACAGGCAGAGAAGCAACGUGUCAGCUAUGAAGUCCUCCCCCCCCCCCCCCGCAAAGCUUAAGGAAUCUUGGGGUGCCUGGUCAGGAGGGCACAUGAAAGAGUCACAGCAUGAAAACCAUUAUAAAGACUCACUAGGAGGCUGGAAUGGUGCCCGAAGAUGCUGAGAAACAGCCCAAGGACUUUAAACAGGUCAUGACAUGGCAAGGUUUUAACUGGAUGCAUGGCUACUCAUCUCAGAUGACACGUGGCAGCCUCCCCUGAGCGCAGCAAGACCUGAGCUGACUUUGAGCUCCCAGAGGUGGGUGAAGGUGACCAGGGCAUACAGAUCAUCCCUUACUCUCCUCCUCUUCUCCCUUUUUUCCUGGAAAGAUAUGGUGACCGAGGAUCAUACCCAAACCUCAUGUUUGACAACGGCAACACUGCUCUCCACCUCCAUCCUUUAACUACCACAUACCCCCUAAGCUCACAUGUGGAAUAUACACCUACAUUUGAGCGACCGCAUCUUUGGGUCUCGGUCCCAUGGUGGCUCAGCCUCUAUCCCAGCUCAGCGCUACUCAACAGGGAAAAACAAAACACAAGAACGAAAGGCCACACAUCUCUGUGAGUGUUCUAGUGGGCACUUUGUAAAAGGUCAAAAGAAAUGUAUGAGAUUAUGAAAUUAAAUCACAAGUAGUAUAAUGCCAACAUCCAAUCAAUACAAAAAUCAUUGAGAUGUUU
Long non-coding RNA from Peromyscus eremicus (cactus mouse), 758 nucleotides. RefSeq lists it as uncharacterized. Lineage: Eukaryota; Metazoa; Chordata; Mammalia; Rodentia; Cricetidae. The record is from RefSeq and is a predicted model, not a curated record. The transcript is spliced from 2 exons.